This 45-nucleotide ribosomal RNA is filed under the name Sinapis alba (white mustard). Its description in RNAcentral is "partial 18S ribosomal RNA". It matches the Rfam family "Eukaryotic small subunit ribosomal RNA", at positions 1790 to 1831 of the family's 1831-position model. RNAcentral also lists the same sequence under 4 other names. The record is from RNAcentral. Lineage: Eukaryota; Viridiplantae; Streptophyta; Magnoliopsida; Brassicales; Brassicaceae.
CGUAACAAGGUUUCCGUAGGUGAACCUGCGGAAGGAUCAUUGUCG